CUAGGGCUUCAUUUAUUUACAAUUUUGACUCCCCAAUUUCUUUGACUCCCCCCGCUGCAACUCCAGUACGGACUCGGGAGAGGCGAAGCUCGAGAGCCGUGCGUCUUCCGAAAAAUGACCCCGCCAAGUCACACUGUUUCUUGACACAAUGCUUGCUUCACCCGGAAGCCAGCCGCACCAAUGUGUCAGAGGAAACACCGUACAUCAGGCGACUGUCUUAGCGUGCAUGCGCCCGGCCCGCUCAUUAGAGCGCAAUGGGACAAGGACGUCCCUGCCGACCAAACCCUCCCUUAACCCGGGCGAUGCUGGGCCAAUUGCACACACUUAACUGAAAAUGAAAAUGGACAAUUCAAUGGAUUUGAUUCAACAAAGAGGUAUUCAGAGGAGGAGGCAUACCAAGGAAUGUCAAUUGACCCUCCCUACUCCUCUGAUGAAUAUAACAGGAAACUGGUUCAUUCACCAAAACUGCAAAAUCAUUGUGGCUAUGGAUACGGAGAACAUCAACACAUUAACAUCAACAGGCCAGAGGAUAUACCUAUUGGACUUGGGGCUCUGCUGGGAGUUUACCUCAUAUUUACAUUUUUUUAUUCUGCUUUCCCACUAAAAAUCCUAAUAAACACUGAGAAUUAAAAGAUUGUGUUAUUGUUGUAACGCACAUGAAUAAUAAUAAUAAUAGGGGAUGGGGUGGUUAA
Oncorhynchus keta (chum salmon) is the source of this 692-nucleotide long non-coding RNA. RefSeq lists it as uncharacterized. The record is from RefSeq and is a predicted model, not a curated record. Lineage: Eukaryota; Metazoa; Chordata; Actinopteri; Salmoniformes; Salmonidae. The transcript has 4 exons.